GCCAGGCAUGGUGGCGUGUGCCUAUAAUCCUAGCUACUGGGAGGGCUAAGGCAAGAGGAUUGCUUGAUCCCAGGAGUUCGAGGCUGCAGUGAGCUAUGAUUAUGCCACUGCACUCCAGCCUGGGCAACAGAGCAAGACCUUAUCUCUU
RNAcentral lists this non-coding RNA (148 nucleotides) under Pongo abelii (Sumatran orangutan). Lineage: Eukaryota; Metazoa; Chordata; Mammalia; Primates; Hominidae. The record is from Rfam by way of RNAcentral.